Long non-coding RNA from Hibiscus syriacus, 612 nucleotides. RefSeq lists it as uncharacterized. The record is from RefSeq and is a predicted model, not a curated record. Lineage: Eukaryota; Viridiplantae; Streptophyta; Magnoliopsida; Malvales; Malvaceae. The transcript is spliced from 7 exons.
GAAACUAAGAUUUUUGGCAUAGGUUGGAGUUGGCUUGAUGCUCCUACAACAACUGGGAGGUUACAGAGGAUUUGCCUAUUAUGUUAACAGCAUUUUAUAUUUAGCUGAUUUUAGUGAACAUUCUCGGCAUACUUUUAAUCGAUAGAUCAGGGAGACAGCCUCUUCUAAUGGUUUCCAUUGUUGGUGCAUUAUUUGGUUGCUUCCUUACAGGCCUGUCAUUCCUCUUGCAGGAUCUUUAGUGGUUGGAGGAAAUCACUCCAAUUAUGGCAUUUCUUGGCUGGCAUCCUGAUGUACAUGAGAUUUUAUUCAUUAGGAAUGUCUGGAAUUCCAUGGAUUAUAAUGUCUGAGAUAUUUCCUGUGAACAUAUAGGGUUCAGCUGGAAGCCUUCGCAAUCUGGUGAACUGGUUCUGUUCUUGGGUUGUUUCUUAUACUUUCAACUUUCUUCUUCAAUGGAACUCUGCUGGAACCUUCUUCAUAUUUUCAAGCAUUUCAGGGAUAGCUAUCAUUUUCAUUGCACAGCUGGUGCCUGAGACCAGGGGGAGAACACUAGAAGAAGUUCAAGCACCGAUUACUGCAAAUGUAGGGUAAGAAAUCUAGAAUAGCAUAUCAUGU